This 376-nucleotide ribosomal RNA is filed under the name uncultured organism. RNAcentral's name for it is "partial 16S ribosomal RNA". It matches the Rfam family "Bacterial small subunit ribosomal RNA", at positions 527 to 896 of the family's 1533-position model. The record is from RNAcentral.
GUAGGGGCCAAGCGUUUAUCCGGAUUUAUUGGGCGUAAAGAGCUCGUAGGCGGCUUGGCAAGUCGGUCGUGAAAGUCCGAGGCUCAACCUCGGAAUGCCGGUCGAAACUGCCAUGGCUAGGGUUCGGUAGAGGAGAGUGGAAUUCUCGGUGUAGCGGUGAAAUGCGCAGAUAUCGAGAGGAACACCAGUAGCGAAGGCGGCUCUCUGGGCCGAUACCGACGCUGAGGAGCGAAAGCGUGGGGAGCAAACAGGGAUUAGAUACCCUGGUAGUCCACGCCGUAAACGGUGAUCACUAGGUGUGGCGGACUCAUUGACGUCUGCUGUGCCGGCGCUAACGCAUUAAGUGAUCCCGCCUGGGAGUACGGCCGCAAGGCUA